This 253-nucleotide ribosomal RNA is filed under the name uncultured bacterium. Its description in RNAcentral is "partial 16S ribosomal RNA". It matches the Rfam family "Bacterial small subunit ribosomal RNA", at positions 524 to 776 of the family's 1533-position model. The record is from RNAcentral.
GACAGAGGGUGCAAACGUUGUUCGGAAUUACUGGGCGUAAAGCGCGUGUAGGCGGCAGGGCAAGUCGGAUGUGAAAGCCCACGGCUCAACCGUGGAAGUGCACCCGAAACUGCCUCGCUAGAGUCUCGGAGAGGAAGGUGGAAUGCUUGGUGUAGAGGUGAAAUUCGUAGAUAUUGGGAAGAACACCGAUGGCGAAGGCAGCCAUCUGGACCGACACUGACGCUGAGGCGCGAAAGCGUGGGGAGCAAACAGG